AAGAAAGUGGCAGAGCGGUUAUGUGGUCGGCUUGAAACCGACCUAUGGGGGUUCGACUCCUCCCUUUCUGU
This 71-nucleotide transfer RNA is filed under the name Sebastes koreanus. Its description in RNAcentral is "tRNA-Ser". It matches the Rfam family "tRNA". From Rfam's summary of the family: Transfer RNA (tRNA) molecules are approximately 80 nucleotides in length. Their secondary structure includes four short double-helical elements and three loops (D, anti-codon, and T loops). Lineage: Eukaryota; Metazoa; Chordata; Actinopteri; Perciformes; Sebastidae. The record is from RNAcentral.